RNAcentral lists this ribosomal RNA (221 nucleotides) under Campeiostachys nutans. RNAcentral's name for it is "Elymus nutans partial small subunit ribosomal RNA". It matches the Rfam family "Eukaryotic small subunit ribosomal RNA", at positions 665 to 864 of the family's 1831-position model. The record is from RNAcentral. Lineage: Eukaryota; Viridiplantae; Streptophyta; Magnoliopsida; Poales; Poaceae.
GGAUUGACACAUCGGUCGUGCCUUAAGGGGUAUGAACUGGUGUAGUCAAUUUCUCACCUUCUGGAGAACCGCGAUGUCCUUAAUUGGGUGCCGCGAGGAACCAGGACCUUUACUUUGAAAAAAUUAGAGUGUUCAAAGCAGGCCUUUGCUCGAAUACAUUAGCAUGGAAUAAUAAAAUAGGACGGCAUGGUUCUAUUUUGUUGGUUUCUAGGAUCACCGUA